UAUCAAGCUUUGCUGUGAAUUUGGUGU
This 27-nucleotide non-coding RNA is filed under the name Bombyx mori (domestic silkworm). Lineage: Eukaryota; Metazoa; Arthropoda; Insecta; Lepidoptera; Bombycidae. The record is from RNAcentral.